AUAAGUGACUGCCUCAGAGCCUUAGCACUUGCUUUCCCCUCUGCCAGAACAUCCGUUGGCUCCUGCCCUCACAUCUUCAGGUCUCCCCUCAAAUGUCACCGUUUCAGUGAGGCCAUCCCUUAUGACCCAAUAAACAACCUCCCCAGCACUUCCCCGGGCCCCUUGCCUUCUCCACUUUUCUCCACAGUAACGGACAUGCUCUACAUGCAGCUCUUUGUUUGUUCAUUGUUAUCUCCCUCCACCUCAAGGUCAGCUCCAUGGGGGCAGGUUCUUUGACUUGUUUCUUGCGACAUCCUUGGGGUCGGGACCGGUGCCUGACAUACAGGAGGAGCUUGAUAAAUACUUGCUGACUGGAAGACCGGUACUCCCCACAUCUCUGUACUCCAGAAUAAAAUGGGGGUUGGUCCAAGAGGUACUGGAUUCUGGGUAGGAUCCGGGCAAUCUAGGUCCUGGGUCCAAGUGUCUAAAUACCUUACUACACUGCUUUUCAGUGCAUACCAGCUCUAAAAUUAAACAUCUUUAGGCAGA
Molecule: long non-coding RNA, 528 nt
Organism: Neofelis nebulosa (Clouded leopard)
Lineage: Eukaryota; Metazoa; Chordata; Mammalia; Carnivora; Felidae
Exons: 2
Source: RefSeq, a predicted model, not a curated record